RNAcentral lists this ribosomal RNA (834 nucleotides) under uncultured bacterium. Its description in RNAcentral is "bacterial SSU rRNA". It matches the Rfam family "Bacterial small subunit ribosomal RNA", at positions 60 to 849 of the family's 1533-position model. The record is from RNAcentral.
AGUCGAACGAGGUGGCCCACAGAAUUUGAUAGAAACUUUGAGAGCUUGCUCGAGAAGUGGAAAGAGAAGGACGUGGAAUUUCCACCUAGUGGCAAACGGGUGAGUAACACGUGGGUUACCUACCUCUUAGAUGGGGAUACCAAUUGGAAACGAUUGUUAAUACCGAAUGUGAUCUACGGAUUAAAGGAAGCCUUUAAAGCUUCGCUAAGAGAUGGGCCUGCGGUGCAUUAGAUAGUUGGUGGGGUAAGAGCCUACCAAGUCAACGAUGCAUAGCUGAACUGAGAGGUUGAUCGGCCACACUGGGACUGAGACACGGCCCAGACUCCUACGGGAGACAGCAGUUAGGAAUAUUCGUCAAUGGGGGAAACCCUGAACGAGCAAUGCCGCGUGAACGAUGACGGUCCUCUGGAUUGUAAAGUUCUGUUGUUUGGGAAGAACGGCUCUAAUAGGAAAUGAUUAGAGAUUGACUGUACCAUUCAAGAAAGCCACGGCUAACUACGUGCCAGCAGCCGCGGUAAUACGUAGGUGGCGAGCGUUAUCCGGAUUUAUUGGGCGUAAAGCGUCCGCAGCCGGUUUAUUAAGUAUAGAAUAAAACUUCGGGGCUCAACCCCGUCUCGUUCUAUAAACUGAUAGACUAGAGUGUGGUAGAGGCAAGUGGAAUUUCUAGUGUAGCGGUAGAAUGCGUAGAUAUUAGAAGGAACACCAGUGGCGAAGGCGACUUGCUGGGCCAUCACUGACGGUCAGGGACGAAAGCGUGGGGAGCGAAUAGGAUUAGAUACCCUAGUAGUCCACGCCGUANACGAUGAGCACUAAGUGUCGGGCAACCGGUNCUGA